RNAcentral lists this long non-coding RNA (2654 nucleotides) under Phocoena sinus (vaquita). RNAcentral's name for it is "lncRNA (ENSPSNG00000017738.1)". Lineage: Eukaryota; Metazoa; Chordata; Mammalia; Artiodactyla; Phocoenidae. The record is from RNAcentral.
GGUCUCUUUGUAAGAUAUUGUGGCAAUUCACACAGGAGCCACCAGGGGUCUCUGUUUCCGUUACAAAUCUCAACUCUGUCUGGGCCAGAGAACCUAGCCUUUGACUCUCUCCACCGUGUGAAAUUUAGCAGGAUGGGACUCAAUCCUGUAAACUGUUUGGGGUUGGGGGCUUUCUCUCUGUCUUCUUUCUAUUGGUGUGAAUUGAUCAUUGGUGUUUGCUUUUGCUCUCCUCCAUUCUCUGGAACUACAACCCAAUCUUCUUACAGAACUUCUAAAGUUUUUCUGAAUGUACAGACAUUUCUCGGGUUCCUAUCUUUGUCUCUGAUGUACCGUUUUCCAUUUAAGACAUUUUCCUGUGUAAGACAGUUUUAUAGUUGGUUGCUUUUAGGGUAAAGAGGCUUAAGACAGUUUUAUUGUGUUUUUGGCAGGUUUGGAAAAGGUAAGAAAUGGGUCCUUCCUCCCACUUUUUUGGGUACUUAAGACAUAAAAUUCAUAAUCCUCUUAAAAAUUAAAUUCAGCUUUGCUAAUCCUAAAAUUGUUCCCAAAUGAAAAUGUAUUCUAGGUUUAUCCCCUAGUUGGGUUAUUCCACAAGGCCUCUCUUCAGGGACCAGUGGGGGCUUAGGGAGCCCUAGUUAGAUUAAAGAGAGACAUUGCUCCUUAAAACUGGUCUUCAGGGGCUUCCCUGGUGGCGCAGUGGUUGGGAGUCUGCCUGCCGAUACAGGGAACAUGGGUUCGUGCCCCGGUCCGGGGGUUCCCACAUGCCGCGGAGUGGCUGGGCCCGUGAGCCAUGGCCGCUGAGCCUGCGCGUCCGGAGCCUGUGCUCCACAACGGGAGAGGCCACAACAGUGAGAGGACCGCGUACCGCAAAAAAAAAACAAAACUGGUCUUCAUUUAUCCAGACAAGCACAACUAAGAGAACUCUUCGCCCCUCGGGCUUUAAAGUCUUUCCAAGGCCCGAAUCUAAGAAAAUCAAAAAUUGGAUGCUGAAUAUUUUGGCCUUCCUUCGGCUAUUUUUCUGGUUCACCUCCAAAAAGCAAAAAUAAUACCCUUGUCUGCUUUAAUUUGCUUUCCAAAUCUGGUGCCCAUGGUCCCAGCUCCCCUAACAUCAUGCUAUCCCAGGAGGACCAGGGCUGGGGACAGUCAAACCCCAGGCUCAUGGGUCUCAGACAACUACUUGAGUUAAAGUUGAAACUCAUUCCUCUUCUCUGUUUUCUGGUUUUAAAGCUGUGCUUUUUGCCUUAUUUUCCACCGUUUAGGAGAGAUAGCGGGUUGCCAUUCAGAUAGGAAAAUCUGAAUUUUCUUAUCUUUGGCCCAGAAAAUGCUCUUCAGACCAACAUUUUGAAGUUGGUAGUUGGCUCUAUGGAAAGCAGUAGGAUUUUCCUCCUUUUGUGUGAAGGAAAAGAGAAGCUUUGUAGGAAGUUGCUAGUUAGAAAAGUAGCCUGCAACACCAGGAAAACCAUCCCAAGAGCCAGGAGGGAGAGAUGAAGAACUCCUUCAGUGCGUGUGUCAACCUGCGAGAGGCAACCCACAGUCCUCCGCAUUCUUGGCUUUUGUUGAUCUGUUUAGUGGCCUGUCCUUGUCUGUCACUGGACUUACACAGGUCCUGAGCCAAUAGGGGCCUUUCAUACCCACGGAUCUGUUUCCUUGCUGGAAAUGAAACCCUACCCUUCACUUGACAUUCCUUUUGAUCCAACUGGUCAAAAUUGGUGCCCAUACCUGCCCUUUUCCUCCUUUUCCGGCACAUCCUUCUCUAAGAAAGGAAAGGCAAAGCUCCUUAAUGACAACACCUUUGGCCUGUUCUGUUGCUCCUGCCUUGUUUCUCUUUCAGCCCUGUACAUGACUUGCAUUCACCAUCCCCUCGGUCAGUGUCCAUCUGCUGAUUUGCAUCAUGAACUGGACAGUGUGUGAGAGGUCACCUGCUACCCCCGCUCUGGGAGCCGAGUUGUCUUCCCCUCUCUGGUGCUCCUGACACCUGUGAGAUGGUCCUGUCCAGAGGACUAGGAACCUUAGGAGGAGAGUCCUUCUCGGCAGAGCUCAUUGCAAUCAUCUGGAAUCUAGGUUGCACACUGUGAUUUUUACACCGAAAAGCCAAACGGAGCUGGCCACCCAGGGCCUAGGGAGACCAGUCUUCCUCGGAUAUGCUUCCUAAACCAGCAUGAUGCUUCGAAGAACCCCAGUCUGCCCCUGGAGGCAUGGAUCCUUUUCCCGGUGUGGACUCUGAUGGUCAGUCUUUGGGAAGCAGAGGUGGGGCGGGGCUACCAGCAUCCCAAUUUGGAAAAGAGAGGAGUUUGCAGCCAGCAGCCUGUAAACUGGAAACACUGGUCUCAGCCAACCUCCUCAGGGUGCCCUGGUUUCUCCCCAAAGAGAUGAGAGAUGAUGCCAGCAACAGGAUGAACAGACCACUGGAAGGACUGGUGUAUAUGUACUUCACGUUCAGAAGAGAAGUUAGAUCUUCCAGGGAAUUGCAAUUUUGUGGCGUCUGACUUGUAUGUCACGUUUGUGUAAAAUGGUAUAUUCUUUAAAAUAGUGUUGAUAACUGGAAUAUUGUAUGUAUGCUUGGAGAUGCUUUGUGUGAACCUAAGACUGUCACUCAACAGAUGUUGGAUUGGGGAAAAUCCAAAGCACAACUUCGAAAUAAAAUACGUUUUUAGGUU